UACGGGGGGGGCAAGCGUUGUUCGGAAUUACUGGGCGUAAAGGGCCCGUAGGCGGCCAACUAAGUCCGACGUGAAAUCCCCAGGCUUAACCUGGGAACUGCGUCGGAUACUGGAUGGCUUGAAUCCGGGAGAGGGAUGCGGAAUUCCAGGUGUAGCGGUGAAAUGCGUAGAUAUCUGGAGGAACACCGGUGGCGAAGGCGGCAUCCUGGACCGGCAUUGACGCUGAGGAGCGAAAGCCAGGGGAGCAAACGGG
This 253-nucleotide ribosomal RNA is filed under the name uncultured bacterium. RNAcentral's name for it is "partial 16S ribosomal RNA". It matches the Rfam family "Bacterial small subunit ribosomal RNA", at positions 524 to 776 of the family's 1533-position model. The record is from RNAcentral.